Molecule: ribosomal RNA, 246 nt
Filed under: uncultured bacterium
Lineage: Bacteria
Description: partial 16S ribosomal RNA
Rfam family: Bacterial small subunit ribosomal RNA
Source: RNAcentral
GUAACACGUAUCCAACCUGCCGAUAACUCGGGGAGUAGCCUUUCGAAAGAAAGAUUAAUACCCGAUGGCAUAAUAGAACCGCAUGGUUUGAUUAUUAAAGAAUUUCGGUUAUCGAUGGGGAUGCGUUCCAUUAGGCAGUUGGUGGGGUAACGGCCCACCAAACCUUCGAUGGAUAGGGGUUCUGAGAGGAAGGUCCCCCCACAUUGGAACUGAGACACGGUCCAAACUCCUACGGGAGGCAGCAUG